UGGGACCUACGGGAGGCAGCAGUGGGGAAUAUUGGGCAAUGGACGCAAGCCUGACCCAGCAACGCCGCGUGAAGGAAGAAGGCUUUCGGGUUGUAAUCUUCUUUUGACAGGGAAGAGCAGAAGACGGUACCUGUCGAAUAAGCCACGGCUAACUACGUGCCAGCAGCCGCGGUAAUACGUAGGUGGCAAGCGUUGUCCGGAUUUACUGGGUGUAAAGGGCGUGUAGCCGGGCUGACAAGUCAGAUGUGAAAUCCGGGGGCUCAACCCCCGAACUGCAUUUGAAACUGCUGGUCUUGAGUAUCGGG
Molecule: ribosomal RNA, 305 nt
Filed under: uncultured bacterium
Lineage: Bacteria
Description: bacterial SSU rRNA
Rfam family: Bacterial small subunit ribosomal RNA
Source: RNAcentral